GACAGAGGGUGCAAACGUUGUUCGGAAUUACUGGGCGUAAAGCGAGUGUAGGCGGUCUGCUAAGUCGGGUGUGAAAGCCCUGGGCUCAACCCAGGAAGUGCACUCGAAACUGGCAGGCUAGAGUGCUGGAGAGGUUGGUGGAAUUCUCGGUGUAGAGGUGAAAUUCGUAGAUAUCGGGAGGAACACCAGUGGCGAAGGCGGCGAUCUGGGAAGAUACUGACGCUGAGGUGCGAAAGCGUGGGGAGCAAACAGG
This 253-nucleotide ribosomal RNA is filed under the name uncultured bacterium. RNAcentral's name for it is "partial 16S ribosomal RNA". It matches the Rfam family "Bacterial small subunit ribosomal RNA", at positions 524 to 776 of the family's 1533-position model. The record is from RNAcentral.